CCUACGGGAGGCUGCAGUGGGGAAUAUUGGACAAUGGGGGCAACCCUGAUCCAGCCAUGCCGCGUGUGUGAAGAAGGCCCUCGGGUUGUAAAGCACUUUCAGUGAGGAAGAACGCCUGGUGGUUAAUACCCAUCAGGAAAGACAUCACUCACAGAAGAAGCACCGGCUAACUCCGUGCCAGCAGCCGCGGUAAUACGGAGGGUGCGAGCGUUAAUCGGAAUUACUGGGCGUAAAGCGCGCGUAGGUGGCUUGAUAAGCCGGUUGUGAAAGCCCCGGGCUCAACCUGGGAACGGCAUCCGGAACUGGCAAGCUAGAGUGCAGGAGAGGAAGGUAGAAUUCCCGGUGUAGAGGUGAAAUGCGUAGAGAUCGGGAGGAAUACCAGUGGCGAAGGCGGCCUUCUGGACUGACACUGACACUGAGGUGCGAAAGCGUGGGUAUCAAACAGGAUUAGAUACCCGAGUAGUC
This 465-nucleotide ribosomal RNA is filed under the name Vreelandella stevensii. RNAcentral describes it as "partial 16S ribosomal RNA". It matches the Rfam family "Bacterial small subunit ribosomal RNA", at positions 338 to 795 of the family's 1533-position model. Lineage: Bacteria; Pseudomonadati; Pseudomonadota; Gammaproteobacteria; Oceanospirillales; Halomonadaceae. The record is from RNAcentral.